ACAACAUGUAUCAUGACUAACAAGAAAUGGACCUGGUUCCCAGUCUGCACAUUGUCAUAACUUGCUGGAGUAAGAUGUGCAGAAGGAAGUGUUGAAUAUACUCAGUGACGACAGGGAUGCCAUAAAUACAGUUGUAGAAGAAAUGUAGAAGCUUUCAAGAGGAAAAUGGACUAUCAUCUUUUGCAAGUGCCUGAUCAGCCGGAUUGUGGCAGCUAUGUGGGCCUGCAGGCCAUCUGCACCAAAAGCCUGGCAGACUAAGCAGUUAACACAAAAGCCUGGCCUCAGCCAGGCUGUGAGGAUGCAAGAACCCUCAGAAUAUGUUACAGGACUGGAAGUAGCUUGAAAUCUACCUCAGUUUUGCUGAUGUUCCUUGAGGAAGGGUAAGGCCCCCUACAACCCUGGGUCUGUUUUAUGGAUUUUUACGAAGCAGUUUCUACAACAUAGCUGAAUCUCUUAACAGGAAACUUCAUGAUUGCUGUCCCACAGCAACAGUCAGUACAUGUAUAUGGAAGAACACUGCAACAGACCUACUGGCCCAAGUUAGGACCUGCUUCCCAGUCUGCACAUUACCAUAGCUUACUGGAGUAAGAUAUGCAGAAGGAAAUGAAGAAUAAACUCAAAGACAGGGAUGCCAUAAGCACAUUUGUGGAAGAAACUUAGAAGCUUUCAAGGGGGAAAAUGGACUACCAUCUUUUGCAAGUGCCUGAUCAGUGUGUGAUGGCUAUGUGGGCCUGCAGGCCAUCUUCACCAAAAGCCUGGCAGACUAAGCAGUCAAUAGGAAAGUCUGGCCUCAGCCAGGCUGUGAGGAUACAAGAACCCUCAGAAUAUGUUACAACUGUGUUGGGUGAGGUAGUUAAACGAAGCCUGCCUGUGACAUAUGCCUACUAUGGAAUAUCAUUAGAUGAGGAGAGUAAUGGGUUCAAUUCCUGUGAGUUUCACUCAAGAUUCCUUCAUCUGUGGCAUACUACCAUCAGUCUUCAUUCAGCAUUGGAUUGAGAUGGUAAAGUAAAAUACACAUUAUCUAUGAUACGUAUUAUGUUUGUAGCAGGAUCUCCCUUUCCAUGUAUGAUUUCAGAACUUUUUUAAAAACAAGUUUAUAUCUCUGCACCUUUAGAUUAACAUUCUGGUCCAUACCUACAUAAAAAGUUUGAGACAUCCUGAUGUCAUAGCCCUCUGACUUAGAUAUACAGUAGAACCACUCUGUGGAUUCAGUUAUCCACGGUUUACUAUAAUCCUUAAUUUGCUUAAUAAUGACCCCAGAGCACAAAAGUAGCGACAGCAGUUCUUCAAGGUCUAAGUCUUGGACAGGCUGUAAAGUGCUUCCAAUUAAUGAUGAUUCAAGGCACUUGCAUCUAUGGAAAUUGGGUUCUUUGAUUACUAGUUGGGCUUCGUUAAAGUUCAUCAGGUGGUUGGCAGAAUUCCAGUGUUGUACACAGGCACUGUUCAUUCCUACAUGCCUUUGUGUUCUCUGAUAUGUGUUUCAAAGUUUCCUGCCAUUUCCCCUACAUAUAUUCUGUCACAGCCUCCACAGGGAAUAGUAUAAACCUCUGCAUUGAUUGGAUCAAUGUUUAUUAAUUUUGUCCUAGUCAGAUCUUUCAUGGAAGUACUAGUGUUGGCUUGUGCGAGCACUUUAGACAUUCAUUGCAACCUGGCUGCAAGGAAGAAUUAUAACCUUGUUAGGAGUAGUGUAGUGUGUGGAGAAUUGAUGAUCUGAAGAGCUCUUUUCUUGCAAUCUUUGAUGAAAAAAGGAAGUGAAAUGUAGAUCAGUGAAGGUUUGGAGUAUGUAAGUACACCUUAUCAAAUAACUCUGGAGUACAAAUUUGGUAUGGUCUUAGGAAAAAUCCAGUGAUGAUGCCUCUUUUGGGUUUAGUAUCUUGACUGGAAUAGAAAUGUGUGAGAUUGUUUUGUUUGUUGAUUUCCUGUACUCUUGAAACCUUAGACUGUUAUCUGACCAUACCACAGGCGGGGAUAGAACCCGCGAUCAGAGUCUCAAAACUCCAGACCGUUG
This is a non-coding RNA of Cherax quadricarinatus, 2008 nucleotides long. The record is from RefSeq and is a predicted model, not a curated record. Lineage: Eukaryota; Metazoa; Arthropoda; Malacostraca; Decapoda; Parastacidae.